This 434-nucleotide ribosomal RNA is filed under the name uncultured Lachnospiraceae bacterium. Its description in RNAcentral is "partial 16S ribosomal RNA". It matches the Rfam family "Bacterial small subunit ribosomal RNA", at positions 341 to 792 of the family's 1533-position model. The record is from RNAcentral. Lineage: Bacteria; Bacillati; Bacillota; Clostridia; Lachnospirales; Lachnospiraceae.
ACGGAAGGCAGCAGUGGGGAAUAUUGCACAAUGGGCGAAAGCCUGAUGCAGCGACGCCGCGUGAGUGAAGAAGUAUCUCGGUAUGUAAAGCUCUAUCAGCAGGGAAGAAAAUGACGGUACCUGAUUAAGAAGCCCCGGCUAACUACGUGCCAGCAGCCGCGGUAAUACGUAGGGGGCAAGCGUUAUCCGGAUUUACUGGGUGUAAAGGGAGCGUAGACGGUUUGGCAAGUCUGAAGUGAAAUGCGGGGGCUCAACUCCUGAACUGCUUUGGAAACUGUCGAACUAGAGUGCAGGAGAGGUAAGUGGAAUUCCUAGUGUAGCGGUGAAAUGCGUAGAUAUUAGGAGGAACACCAGUGGCGAAGGCGGCUUACUGGACUGUAACUGACGUUGAGGCUCGAAAGCGUGGGGAGCAAACAGGAUUAGAUACCCUGGUA